This 363-nucleotide unclassified non-coding RNA is filed under the name uncultured bacterium. RNAcentral describes it as "contains 16S-23S intergenic spacer region". The record is from RNAcentral.
UCCCUGUUACCAGGGCAGUCUGAUUAGAGAAAUUCAACUAAUCACAAGGGUUGCGCUCGUUGAUGGACUUAACCAAACAUCUCACGACACGAGCUGACGACGGCCAUGCAACACCUGUCACUUGGCUCAAUAAAGCACUCUCGCCUUUCGGCAAAAUUCCAAGGAUGUCAAACCUGGGUAAGGUUCUUCGUUUACCAUCGAAUUAAAGAACACACUCCACCGCUUGUGCGGGUCCCCGUCAAUUCCUUUAUGUUUUAGUCUUGCGACCGUACUCCACAGGCGGGAUGCUUAACGCGUUAGCUUCGCUACUACCAGGGUCGAUACUGGUAACAGCUAGCAUCCAUAGUUUACGGCGUGGACUAA